Molecule: long non-coding RNA, 2908 nt
Organism: Lolium perenne
Lineage: Eukaryota; Viridiplantae; Streptophyta; Magnoliopsida; Poales; Poaceae
Source: RefSeq, a predicted model, not a curated record
CCGCCUUAUAAUGGGUUUCUUUUCUUACAAGUAUAAUUUGACCUUCAUGCUUGUGAUUCUCGGUAAGACUUUGUUUAGAUGUAGUCAGUCCGGUUCCAGAUGGAAUUCUGUCAUCUCUACUCCUAUUAAGAUGAAACUGGAAUCGUCCACAACCCUUCAGCCCGCCUCUCCGUCCCACGUCCCUCGACUCCCAGACCUGCUGCCCUCGCCCGAAGGCGCAUCCUCUCCGUCUCCUCUCCUGCCUCCUCGGUCCUCGCCCCCGUUUGCCCUCGCCGCCGCUGCGGACGCGAGGAGCACGGACGCCCCAGUGCCCGCCUCCGACUCCCUACCCACGAACCCACACCCGCUCCCUUCGACGAUGACGAGCGACCUGGCCGCCGCCGCCGUCGGUUAGCACCUCCAGCGUCGCCGCCGCUGAGGGCACCAGACGCGGACGGGAACGACACCCUUCUCUCUGCUAUCGUCUCCUCCUGUGUCGGCGAGCCUUCCUCUCCGCUGCUACGGUGGCGUGUACUCCGGCAUGAGCCCGCCCUACUCGACGGCAGCAACACGAUCUACCAGGAGGUCUACAGAGAGGAGGAAUCUCAUAUACCAGGUGCUUAUCACACAUGAAUAUGUCACUAACAUGAGCGCGUAUCUCAAUUAUGUCUCUAACGGAAGAGGAGACUACACUUAAAUAUUUUUUUUCAGUUAUGAGAAGUAUAAUUGUUUAAUUAUCAGUUGGUGAACAAUUUUGCCAUCUACGUGCCAGUGUUGUCCAUAACAAAACAAUUUAAAAUUAUACACAUCUGUUCCACCUGAUGUGAUUUGCGCUAUCUUUAGUAGGAAAGUGUGGCUUGCCUCAUAAACAAAAGAGUUUUAUCUGUAACAAGAAGUGCCAGAAUAAAUAUAACCAUUCUUUAUGUGCUUGACAUUUCAGAUUAUGACCAACUACUUUUGAAUCUUCCAAACUAAUGCAGCAUAUUUCCUAUCCUUUUAAUAACUGUUGGAUAUAUAUAUUACCUCCAGAAAUUGUUGUCUUAUGAUGAAGACAGUAAAUUUUUUUGACUCAACCUAUUUUUAGCUACAAUCAGCAUUUUGCUGAACAACCGCUGCAUAUUCAUGUUAAGCCUCCAGAAACAGUUUCUUCUCACAAGUUCGAGUACUAUGAGGUUUGUUACUGGUCUGGCAGCCCCAUCACUUUGUUUCCAUUUUGUUUUGAGUAACAUACUUUUUUGGAUUAACUUUAGUGAUGAAUUAUAUGCUCCUUCAGGAGAACCUUAUGUAUAUGUAACACAUCUUGCGUUUAUCAGUCCUCACUAUUCUGAACUAAGUUACAUUUUGGUCCUGGUGUAGAACUUCUCGACGUACAACAACCGAAAUGAUGUUGAUAAUUUGGAGAGUUCAAGACAAUCAUAUGAGAUACAGCCCUAUGUGCACAUGCCUUAUAUCAACAUGAACCUUAUAGGCCUUCAUGGUGUCUGAAUUCAGGAUACUAUCAGCCCUGCACUGAAGUGAUAGCUCCUGAAUAUAACAAUGUAAGUUAGAAUGUUAGAUAGCUUCAUGGGGUUUCCCCUGAUAUGCAUAUUGUUUGAAUUUCAUGCCUAAUUUUAAUUUAGGGGGGGUGGGGGCGGGGGUUCAAUAGUUUGUGUGAUUCAUUUAUGCUAUCAUUUUAAACCGGGUGCUCUUGCUGCCAUUUCGAAAAACUAAGUCCAGCAGAGCCUUUCUACAGUUUUGAACAUGCCAUUUUGGUUUAACCCUGCUACCUCACCGAAGGCCACUAAAAUGGUGUUCAAAAGUUACGGUAAAAGAAAAUAGUCAUAAUGUUUGCCAUUGACCUCAGAUAUAUCAUCAACUGUUAGUGGCAAGUGAAUCCUUCUUUUCUUUGACAUUAUUCACUAAAAUCCAAUCGUCAUGCCUUUGUCCACCUCUCAGCUCAUGUAAUUUAAUGGCACAUUGUCUUUCUAUCUUAUCUGCGUUGUUACUGAUAAGUUUUUGAGCUUUCCCUGUUUUUGGAUGCUCACUGUUCACAUAAAUUGUUAAUUGUUGCAUGUGGUAUGUCUAUGGAAUCUAAUUAUUAUUUGAUCACUUUACUUACGUCAUACAACAGCAUCAUGAAUGCUAGGAUAUGUCAAGCUUAUUUAUGUCUCCAUUCUAUCCUCAACAAACACAAUCUUAUGGUAGUCUCACGGUGGUGAAAAUGUCUAAAUUGGAAGAGCAACUGGAACGUGCUUUCUGAAGAUAAUCACCAGAGAGCCAAAUUGGUAUGCACAACAAUGUGUGUGUGUGUGUGUGUGUGUGUGUGUGUGUGUGUUCUCGAUGGUUUGUUGCUAUAUGAAUCUGGAUCAGCAUACCCAUACCGUUUCCUGAAACCAGCCAAUUGAUUCAUGUGGGACUACUUGUGCGCCAUAAUAUCCUUUUCAUUUUUCCUUGUGAUUGAUGGGUGACCUUUUGGUGGAGUCGGCCAUUUUAUUUCUUGGAUCACUAAACUGAACAGAGAAAACUAUUUUCUGUUUUCAAAUGUUAUAGAUCGAAAUGUCAUAAUAUCCGGCAGAACCUUUUCGUUUUGCCAUCUAACCAGAUGGAAUCACAACUACCAAUACUGCUAACUUUGGAUGACGCAAGUCAACUCCAACCUAGCGCCAGUGUAGGUGUGUUCUGAUGGCUUUGCUGAAACCAGACAAUUAAGAAGAUUAUAGUGGCAUGAAUGAUGAGAGACUAGCCUGGAUAUAUUCGAUGAAGCAACAAUUUUUUUUUUCCUAAUACUGGUCUUGAAUCAUGACUUCCAUUUCUUUUGUUGGAGUUGCAUCUCUUUAAAGGGACUUAUUUUAAGGAAAUGUCUCGUCAACAUCAGGGUGGUAUUGUACUGGUCUCGAAUGCUAAGGGAUGGUACACUUCCAUAAAAAAAGCAUAUACCACAAGGAAUGAC